UACGUAGGGGGCGAGCGUUGUCCGGAAUUAUUGGGCGUAAAGAGCUCGUAGGCGGUUCGGCAAGUCACGUGUGAAAUCUCCACGCUCAACGUGGAGGCGCCACGUGAGACUGCCGUGACUCGAGUCCGGUAGGGGAGCGUGGAAUUCCCGGUGUAGCGGUGAAAUGCGCAGAGAUCGGGAGGAACACCCGUAGCGAAGGCGGCGCUCUGGGCCGGUACUGACGCUGAGGAGCGAAAGCGUGGGGAGCGAACAGG
RNAcentral lists this ribosomal RNA (254 nucleotides) under uncultured bacterium. Its description in RNAcentral is "partial 16S ribosomal RNA". It matches the Rfam family "Bacterial small subunit ribosomal RNA", at positions 524 to 776 of the family's 1533-position model. The record is from RNAcentral.